CGCCUUCUCAUCUUCUUUGAUUGGGC
Molecule: small RNA, 26 nt
Filed under: Bombyx mori (domestic silkworm)
Lineage: Eukaryota; Metazoa; Arthropoda; Insecta; Lepidoptera; Bombycidae
Description: ovarian small RNA-14374
Source: RNAcentral